Molecule: ribosomal RNA, 600 nt
Filed under: uncultured bacterium
Lineage: Bacteria
Description: bacterial SSU rRNA
Rfam family: Bacterial small subunit ribosomal RNA
Source: RNAcentral
AGAGUUUGGUCAUGGCUCAGAUUGAACGCUGGCGGCGUGCCUUACACAUGCGAGUCUAACGGUAACGCGGGGCUUCCUGGCGACGAGUGGCGAACGGGUGAGUAAUGCAUCGGAACUUGCCCAGUAUUGGGGGAUAGCCCGGCGAAAGCCGGAUUAAUACCGCAUACUACCUACGGGUGAAAGCGGGGGACUCGCAAGAGCCUCGCGCUAUUGGAGCGGCCGAUGUCAGAUUAGCUAGUUGGUGGGGUAAAAGCCUACCAAGGCGACGAUCUGUAGCUGGUCUGAGAGGACGACCAGCCACACUGGGACUGAGACACGGCCCAGACUCCUACGGGAGGCACCAGUGGGGAAUUUUGGACAAUGGGCGCAAGCCUGAUCCAGCCAUGCCACGUGCGGGAAGAAGGCCUUCGGUUUUUUUUUCCGCCUUUGUCACGGAAGAAACGCUCUGGGCUAAUACCCCGGGGUAAUGACGGUACCUGAAGAAUAUGCACCGGCUAACUACGUGCCAGCAGCCUCGGGAGUACGUAGGGUGCAAGCGUUAAUCGGAAUUACUGGGCGUAAAGCUGCGCAAGCGGUUAUGCAAGACAGAUGUGAAAUCCC